RNAcentral lists this ribosomal RNA (274 nucleotides) under uncultured bacterium. RNAcentral's name for it is "partial 16S ribosomal RNA". It matches the Rfam family "Bacterial small subunit ribosomal RNA", at positions 523 to 796 of the family's 1533-position model. The record is from RNAcentral.
AUACGGAGGGUGCAAGCGUUAUCCGGAUUUAUUGGGUUUAAAGGGUGCGCAGGCGGACCAAUAAGUCAGUGGUGAAAUCCCGGGGCUCAACCCCGGAACUGCCAUUGAUACUGCUGGUCUUGAAUACGGUUGAAGUAGGCGGAAUGUAGCAUGUAGCGGUGAAAUGCAUAGAGAUGCUACAGAACACCGAUCGCGAAGGCAGCUUACUAAGCCGAUAUUGACGCUCAGGCACGAAAGCGUGGGUAGCAAACAGGAUUAGAUACCCGUGUAGUCC